CUACGGGGGGCAGCAGUGGGGAAUAUUGCACAAUGGGCGCAAGCCUGAUGCAGCAACGCCGCGUGAGGGAUGAAGGCCUUCGGGUUGUAAACCUCUUUUAGCAGGGAAGAAGCGAAAGUGACGGUACCUGCAGAAAAAGCACCGGCUAACUACGUGCCAGCAGCCGCGGUAAUACGUAGGGUGCAAGCGUUGUCCGGAAUUAUUGGGCGUAAAGAGCUCGUAGGCGGUUUGUCACGUCUGCUGUGAAAAUCCAAGGCUCAACCUUGGACUUGCAGUGGGUACGGGCAGGCUAGAGUGCGGUAGGGGAGAUGGGAAUUCCUGGUGUAGCGGUGGAAUGCGCAGAUAUCAGGAGGAACACCAAUGGCGAAGGCACACCUCUGGGCCGUAACUGACGCUGAGGAGCGAAAGCGUGGGGAGCGAACAGGAUUAAUACCCCAGUAGUC
Molecule: ribosomal RNA, 443 nt
Filed under: uncultured bacterium
Lineage: Bacteria
Description: partial 16S ribosomal RNA
Rfam family: Bacterial small subunit ribosomal RNA
Source: RNAcentral